RNAcentral lists this ribosomal RNA (444 nucleotides) under uncultured Bacteroidota bacterium. RNAcentral describes it as "bacterial SSU rRNA". It matches the Rfam family "Bacterial small subunit ribosomal RNA", at positions 917 to 1359 of the family's 1533-position model. The record is from RNAcentral. Lineage: Bacteria; Pseudomonadati; Bacteroidota.
GGGCCCGCACAAGCGGAGGAACAUGUGGUUUAAUUCGAUGAUACGCGAGGAACCUUACCCGGGCUUGAAAUGCAGAGGAAUAUGGCGGAAACGUUAUAGCCAGCAAUGGUCUCUGUGUAGGUGCUGCAUGGUUGUCGUCAGCUCGUGCCGUGAGGUGUCGGCUUAAGUGCCAUAACGAGCGCAACCCUUAUCAUUAGUUACUAACAGUUUAGCUGAGGACUCUAAUGAGACUGCCGCCGUAAGGUGUGAGGAAGGUGGGGAUGACGUCAAAUCAGCACGGCCCUUACGUCCGGGGCGACACACGUGUUACAAUGGGGGGUACGAGAGGGUUGGCUACCGCGCGAGCGGAUGCUAAUCUCUUAAAGCCCUUCUCAGUUCGGAUCGGAGUCUGCAACUCGACUCCGUGAAGCUGGAUUCGCUAGUAAUCGCGCAUCAGCCAUGGCG